CACAGAGUUAGCCGGUGCUUAUUCUGCGAGUAACGUCCACUAUCCUAAAGUAUUAAUCUAGGUAGCCUCCUCCUCGCUUAAAGUGCUUUACAACCAAAAGGCCUUCUUCACACACGCGGCAUGGCUGGAUCAGAGUUCCCCCCAUUGUCCAAUAUUCCCCACUGCUGCCUCCCGUAGGAGUCUGGGCCGUGUCUCAGUCCCAGUGUGGCGGAUCAUCCUCUCAGACCCGCUACAGAUCGUCGCCUUGGUAGGCCUUUACCCUACCAACUAGCUAAUCCGACUUAGGCUCAUCUAUUAGCGCAAGGCCCGAAGGUCCCCUGCUUUCUCCCGUAGGACGUAUGCGGUAUUAGCGCUCCUUUCGGAACGUUGUCCCCCACUAAUGGCAGAUUCCUAAGCAUUACUCACCCGUCCGCCGCUGAAUCCAGUAGCAAGCUACUUUCAUCCGCUCGACUUGCAUGUGUUAAGCCUGCCGCCAGCGUUCAAUCUGACGCC
RNAcentral lists this ribosomal RNA (492 nucleotides) under uncultured Acinetobacter sp. RNAcentral describes it as "partial 16S ribosomal RNA". Lineage: Bacteria; Pseudomonadati; Pseudomonadota; Gammaproteobacteria; Moraxellales; Moraxellaceae. The record is from RNAcentral.